This 66-nucleotide transfer RNA is filed under the name Donax variegatus. RNAcentral's name for it is "tRNA-Ser". The record is from RNAcentral. Lineage: Eukaryota; Metazoa; Mollusca; Bivalvia; Cardiida; Donacidae.
GGCCUAUAAUGGCAAUAUUAUUAGUCUUGAAAACUAGUUGGGGGCGUUCAAUUCGCCCAUAGGCCU